This 484-nucleotide ribosomal RNA is filed under the name uncultured bacterium. Its description in RNAcentral is "partial 16S ribosomal RNA". It matches the Rfam family "Bacterial small subunit ribosomal RNA", at positions 30 to 507 of the family's 1533-position model. The record is from RNAcentral.
AUUGAACGCUGGCGGCAGGCCUAACACAUGCAAGUCGAGCGGAUGAAGGGAACUUGCUCUUGGAUUCAGCUGCCGACGGGUGAGUAAUGCCUAGGUAUCUGCCUGGUCGUGGGGGAUAACGUACGGAAACGGGCGCUAAUAUCGCAUACGUCCUGAGGGAGAAAGGGGGGGAUCUUCGGACCUCACGCUAUCAGAUGAGCCUAGGUCGGAUUAGCUAGUUGGUGGGGUAAAGGCCUACCAAGGCGACGAUCCGUAACCGAUCUGAGAGGAUGAUCAGUCACACUGGAACUGAGACACGGUCCAGACUCCUACGGGAGGCAGCAGUGGGGAAUAUUGGGCAAUGGGCGAAAGCCUGAUCGAGCCAUGCCGCGUGAGUGAAGAAGGUCUUCGGAUUGUAAAGCUCUUUAAGUUGGGAGGAAGAUCAGUGAAUUAAUACCUUGCUGUUUUGACGUUACCUACAGAAUAAGCACCGGCUAACUUCGUG